Molecule: ribosomal RNA, 705 nt
Filed under: Salmonella enterica subsp. enterica serovar Infantis
Lineage: Bacteria; Pseudomonadati; Pseudomonadota; Gammaproteobacteria; Enterobacterales; Enterobacteriaceae
Description: partial 23S ribosomal RNA
Rfam family: Bacterial large subunit ribosomal RNA
Source: RNAcentral
AUCCGGGUUGCGGACAGUGUCUGGUGGGUAGUUUGACUGGGGCGGUCUCCUCCUAAAGAGUAACGGAGGAGCACGAAGGUUGGCUAAUCCUGGUCGGACAUCAGGAGGUUAGUGCAAUGGCAUAAGCCAGCUUGACUGCGAGCGUGACGGCGCGAGCAGGUGCGAAAGCAGGUCAUAGUGAUCCGGUGGUUCUGAAUGGAAGGGCCAUCGCUCAACGGAUAAAAGGUACUCCGGGGAUAACAGGCUGAUACCGCCCAAGAGUUCAUAUCGACGGCGGUGUUUGGCACCUCGAUGUCUGCUCAUCACAUCCUGGGGCUGAAGUAGGUCCCAAGGGUAUGGCUGUUCGCCAUUUAAAGUGGUACGCGAGCUGGGUUUAGAACGUCGUGAGACAGUUCGGUCCCUAUCUGCCGUGGGCGCUGGAGAACUGAGGGGGGCUGCUCCUAGUACGAGAGGACCGGAGUGGACGCAUCACUGGUGUUCGGGUUGUCAUGCCAAUGGCACUGCCCGGUAGCUAAAUGCGGAAGAGAUAAGUGCUGAAAGCAUCUAAGCACGAAACUUGCCCCGAGAUGAGUUCUCCCUGAGACUUAAAGUCUCCUGAAGGAACGUUGAAGACGACGACGUUGAUAGGCCGGGUGUGUAAGCGCAGCGAUGCGUUGAGCUAACCGGUACUAAUGAACCGUGAGGCUUAACCUUACAACGCCGAAG